GAAACACUGAUUUGGCGUUCCAUACUUUAUUAUUGAAAUUUUUUCUCCGCCGCAUUUCUGAAACAAAAAAUGGGGAAAAGGUACUAUUGUGACUACUGCGACAAGAGUUUUGCUGAUAAUUCAGAGAACAGAAAGAAACAUCUUAAUGGAGUCGUUCAUGACCGACUGCGGAAGCUUCAUUACUCACAAUUUAGAGAACCGGAAGAGAUUUUGUCAGAAGAGAGAGCCAAAAUUCCAUGUGUGAAGAUAAAGCAAUCAGGUUUCUGUCCUUUUGAGGGGAAUUGUAGAUACUCCCACUUGACUCCAGAAUGGGAACGAGAGCUACUGGAAAAAAUUGAAGCCAAGAAACUUGCAGCCAAGACAGCUGAGGAUCGGGCAGCCAACCAACCGGAACCAAACCUUGCUGAUUGGCUUGAUAAAAGGAAAAAGAAAGACAAUGCAUCGUCAACGUCAGAGGGAGUAGAUCCAUCAGGUGGAUCGGCAGCCCUGCAGCACAUGCAGUUCAGCCUUCCUCCAGAGUUACAGAAUAUACCAGACCUUCCACCUUCAAUGAUCCCUCCCACUGGUGAUUGCUUUGCUGAGACUGCAGAAUGGGGUUUAUGACCAAUUCACUGUACAGGUGUAUUUCCUAUUCACACUCACUGCAGAUUCAAAAUGUUGAACAUUUUCUCCAAAUGAAAGGUGUUUGAGGUAAAUAUUAUCCUUAGAUUUAAAUUUGGGGUUGAAUAUUUCAGAAUACUUCAGCCUUCAAAAAGAAUAUCAAGGGUAAAAAAUUUGAUGAAAUUUGCCUGAAUUUUGCACAAUGGAGAUGGAAAGUCUGACUAAUCUGGCAGCUUUUGUCCAUAUUACAGAGGUCAUAAUAGUGCCCCUAACUAUUGUGGUCUCUGGCCGGUCUUUCAGCGAGUACUUAACAGGGUCGCAUUGAUGGUAAAGCGAGUGCCCACAGUUUUCAAACAACUUAUAGCAAUGAGAAAACGUAAACAUAAGUUUUGAACGUGAUACACAGUAUUAGUAAAUGACAAUGGAGACUGAGUGUCAACUCACAUGUUCUUCAGGAGCAGUUACUUGUGCAAACAAAGAUAUUGCAAAAUAUUAUGUAUUUCAUUGCAUGCCAUGAAUUAGGCUUGUUCACAUUCUUUAAUUUGAUUAUUACAAGCUGAUACAGUAUUAAUUUUUAUGAAUUUUUAUGAAACAGAUAUUUGUUAUAAAAAACAACGUGCCAUUCUUGUAACAAGAUUUGUUAUAGAAAAAAAAUUGUUAUAGUUAUGUGACCUAAGUCCAAUUCUGUAUUGGAGUGGCACGGGGCUCUUUUAAAGUUUCAACAAUUAAUCAUACAGUUUAAUUUGUAUGACUGAUUUCACAUAGCAAUAGAUGCCUCCAACCAUGAAAAGCUAGUCUGCAAGCACAGACUCAUAUUUUACACUUCAACCAAUAACAGGUCUAGAGUGAAGACUUGAAUCCAAAGACUGUUUCAAAUAAAAGCCAGCUACAGUACAUAGUGAGUCUAGUCUCACUAAUUCAGACUCUGUGUGAUGCACUGUGCAAAUUGCAAAAAUCAAGGGUCUGUGCCUGCAGACUAAUGAAUAGUAGCCCUAUGACCAGUUGGUUAACUCUGUGCUAUGGGAUCCUGAUGAAUGCCUCUGUGAUAUAAUAUCAGCAAGCUUGUUAUCAUUGGCUAGAUUCAGGACUAUUACCUUGUGUUUAGUAUCUGCCACAAUGGACUGAUACAUGUAUGUACCUUUGAUUAAACCAAGAGCGUUAUCAGUGCAAAGAUACGCCACCCAAUUGAUUGUCAUCAUGAAACUUACCCCUGCAAAUUCCUCACUGUACAAUUUUAAAGUGUUCAUGCCUACGCUGUUUCUAAAAAAACGAUAAUGGUAUAGGCCUAUAAAUUUACUCGUUUACUAGCAUGUACUACAUUCAAGAAUUCCAAGAUUCUUUGCUCCAGCAAAAUAUUGAUGAUUUGCCCCCCCCCCCCCCCCAUGGUUGUUUUGGAGUUAUAGGGUAGGUAGGCAGGUAUUUUUUUCCCCUUUAAAUCCCUCCAAUCUGCAUACACACCAUUAUUUAUACAAGCACGUUUACACACAACUGAUAUUACACACAACCUACGUUUAGUCGUUUACAUACUUACAUUCAAACAUACAACCCAGUGAAGUGAUACCAAGUUCCUCCAAGAUUGACACCAUUCCCUCAGCCAAUACAUUGGAAAAUGACCGUCCAUCACUUCUAAACGCUUGACCAGAGUAAAUUAACAAAGAGUACUGUCACAAUUUUUUGUCAGCUAUUUGCUGAAUAAUUUCUCCACCCAGUGAUGACAGUACCCCCCCCUUUGCCCUCCCCCAUCCCCAGAUAUCAAUACACACUGUCUUCAAGAUGAAAUCACGAUUUAGAGAAGUUUUUGUAUUCAUAAAAUGUCGAGUUAUUUUGAAAAUUUUGCCUCACGAGCUGCUUAUAAGAUGAUGCUGUGGUAGCUCUCUCAUAGCAAUAUGCCAAAAGGUCAAGUCCACAUCAACAAAAAAAAAUUAUUUGAAUAAAUAGAGUUAUUUCCCUUGUUUUUUUUAACACAAAACAGUCAAAUACACAAAACAAUGGUAUGCAAAUUAGAGUUGAUUAUGUCACUCACAUCGCAUUCCUUUUUAAUUAUUUUUUGCAUUUUAUUAUAUAAAUUUUAGCAAAUUUGAUGACGGAAACUCUUCAUCAAAUCACAAUAGGUUACAUUUAGAUAAACUACAAAUGUUAUUGGAGGAAUUAAAAUCCCUCUCAAAAUUUAUUAAAGAAAAUAAUGAGAAAAUUAAAAUACAAUAUACAUGUCAGGUACAUGUAUCAAAGAACAAAAUACAAAAGAAAUUAGAGUAUGUGUGACAUAAUCGGUUCUGUAAUUUGCACCAAGAUGAGCAUAUAAUCGUUUUAUGAAAUUAGGCAAAAUUUCUCAAUGUCAAAAGAGUAUUUUAUUUAAAUCUAGAAUCAAAGUUUUAUGAAUUUUUCUGCAAUACUUUAUUUUUCUUUAAAUUCAAAUGAAUUUUUUGGUGGGGUGGACUUCUCCUUUACUCUUUACAUGGAAUAUAGGGAAUGCAAAGCAAAUAUUCAUCCAUGAACAAAAUUGUCUAAAAAAUAUGCAAAUCAGUAAUUGGACACAUGUUCACUUUCCUUUCAUCCAGGCCUCUCCCUCACAUCCAGGCCACUCUCUCACAUCCACCAGGCUUACAGUCUUAUAAGAAAAAUGAUGAAUUAAAUAUAUAAUACCAUCACACAACAUUCACAGUGCUUCACAAUAAAUAUUUCACUUCUCUUCAUACAUGCAAUAGAUAUUGUGGAAAACAAAAACAAGGCGUAAUCACAUUCAAAUACUUUAAAAGGACAAAUAUACCUUUCGAGAAAAAAAUUGUGAACAUACAGCAUGUUAGAUAACUCUUGACAGAGUUGCUAACAAAAUAUAAUUAUGGGGCAUUUGCAAUAAAUUUAUGCUUGAUUAGGUUGAGUUGCAAUUGCAAAUCAACUACAUGUUUGUGUUUAAUCAAAGGACUUACCCUUGAUUUUGGGACGUGUGAUUGAGUAGAAAGUUUCUUGCAAUGCCCUAUUAGUUACUUAAAACCGUUCUUUGGUUUUAAAUUGUGUGUUCUUAUUUUUGACAAGCUGUAUUCCUGUCCAAAUCAGUGUUCUUAGUCCUACCCAAAACUCUGCUCUAAUUUGUUGUUUCCAAUAUUGAUAAAGAUAAAUUUUCUGUUGUAUCAUUAUCAGUCCAAAAUUUGCAAACUAGUUCUAGGAAAGCAAAGAGUGAUAGGAGAAAAAAUGGCUUUGUCCAAAUCACAGUUAUAGUACAUGAUGGAAUCUCCCAGAAUGAAGUAGCGAGCAGAAACCAGAGUCAGCAAGUGUGCAGAUCUGAGUUUAG
RNA transcript from Lytechinus pictus (painted urchin), 3889 nucleotides. It is a transcript of the gene named zinc finger matrin-type protein 5-like, with no coding region annotated. NCBI's taxonomy places the organism in Eukaryota, Metazoa, Echinodermata, Echinoidea, Temnopleuroida, Toxopneustidae. The transcript is spliced from 5 exons. The record is from RefSeq and is a predicted model, not a curated record.